GGUGGAUCGUCCUUUUUCAGCGGGAGAGUCUUGGAGGAGGUAUGCAGUCUUCUGACUAGUGGGGUGGAUGCAUCAACUGAAUUGAUCUGCAUGCAGCACUUCUGUUAAAACUGAUGUAAUGCUGGGGAUAUGGAUUGGAAGCACACUGCCUGUAAACUGGCACUGCUCACUGGUCUUCAAUAUGCAUGAAAAUACAAAGGGGACACUGCUAGCAGCAAAUUGGAUGGGCUUUUGAAAAGGCAGAAGUCACAACACCAGCUAUGGUUGGACUAUAACCUGGUCAUGUGACCUCAGACUCUAUCUACCCUGGUGCAACACCAGCUUCGCCACAUUUUGAAAAGGCAGACGUUACAGUGGUAACUACUGAUGGAACACUGGGUACAGCAACCAGAUUACAUUUCAGCAUUAACUUUCAGCAGGCUAAUGGUUAUGGAUUUGACUUCAUUCUGAAGCUGGCAUAGAAUGGUUAAUUGACCUGUCCAUAAUUGCAACAAAGUUGUGAAACAUUCAGAAUGCUUGCCUUGUUUCUUUUGAAUAAAGAAAUUCUUUAAAUGUGA
Long non-coding RNA from Rhincodon typus (whale shark), 557 nucleotides. RefSeq lists it as uncharacterized. The record is from RefSeq and is a predicted model, not a curated record. The transcript has 6 exons. NCBI's taxonomy places the organism in Eukaryota, Metazoa, Chordata, Chondrichthyes, Orectolobiformes, Rhincodontidae.